GACGAACGCUGGCGGCGUGCCUAAUACAUGCAAGUCGAACGCAUGGUCGUUCACCGUAGCUUGCUACACCGAAAGAAAAUGGGUGGCGAACGGGGUAGUAACACGUGGGUAACCUGCCCAUCAGCUUGGGAUAACACGUGGAAACAGGGGCUAAUACCGUAUAAUUCCAUUUACCGCAGGGUAGAUGGGUGAAGGUGUCUCUUGUGGCACUGUUGGAGGUACCUGCGGUGCUUGAGCUAGUUGGUGGGGUAACGGCCAACCAAGGCUGCGAUGCAUAGCCGACCUGGGAGGGUGGUCGGCCCACCUGGGAAUGUGAACCGGCCCCGACUCCUACGGGGAGCAGCAGUAGGGAAUCUUCGGCCAUGGACACAAGUCUGACCGAGCCACGCCGAGUGAGUGAAGAAGGUUUUCGGAUCGUAAAACUCUGUUGUUAGAGAAGAAAAAGGAUGAGAGUGGAAAGUUCAUCCCUUGACGGUAUCUAACCAGAAAGCCACGGCUAACUACGUG
RNAcentral lists this ribosomal RNA (507 nucleotides) under uncultured bacterium. RNAcentral describes it as "partial 16S ribosomal RNA". It matches the Rfam family "Bacterial small subunit ribosomal RNA", at positions 28 to 507 of the family's 1533-position model. The record is from RNAcentral.